GACGAACGCUGGCGGCGUGCUUAACACAUGCAAGUCGAACGGUGAUCUCAAUGCUUUUGGGUGUUGGGUGAUGAGUGGCGAACGGGUGAGUAACACGUGGGUAACCUGCCCUGGACUUCGGGAUAACUGCCGGAAACGGUGGCUAAUACUGGGUAUGACUUCUGGCCGCAUGGUUGGGGGUGGAAAGGUUUUUCUGGUCUGGGAUGGGCUCGCGGCCUAUCAGCUUGUUGGUGGGGUGAUGGCCUACCAAGGCGGUGACGGGUAGCCGGCCUGAGAGGGCGACCGGCCACACUGGGACUGAGAUACGGCCCAGACUCCUACGGGAGGCAGCAGUGGGGAAUAUUGCACAAUGGGCGGAAGCCUGAUGCAGCGACGCCGCGUGCGGGAUGGAGGCCUUCGGGUUGUGAACCGCUUUCGGUCGGGAAGAAGCCUGUGCUUGUUGGUGUGGGUGACGGUACCGGCGGUAGGAAGCACCGGCUAACUACGUGCCAGCAGCCGCGGUAAUACGUAGGGUGCAAGCGUUGUCCGGAAUUAUUGGGCGUAAAGGGCUCGUAGGCGGCUGGUUGCGUCUGCUGUGAAAUCCUCUGGCUUAACUGGGGGGGUGCGGUGGGUACGGGCUGGCUUGAGUGCGGUAGGGGUGAUUGGAACUCCUGGUGUAGCGGUGGAAUGCGCAGAUAUCAGGAAGAACACCGAUGGCGAAGGCAGGUCCCUGGGCCGUUACUGACGCUGAGGAGCGAAAGCAUGGGGAGCGAACAGGAUUAGAUACCCUGGUAGUCCAUGCUGUAAACGUUGGGCACUAGGUGUGGGGCUUGUUUCCAUGGGUUCCGCGCCGUAGCUAACGCAUUAAGUGCCCCGCCUGGGGAGUACGGCCGCAAGGCUAAAACUCAAAGGAAUUGACGGGGCCCCGCACAAGCGGCGGAGCAUGCGGAUUAAUUCGAUGCAACGCGAAGAACCUUACCAAGGCUUGAAAUACGGGUUAUUCCGGGGGAGAUUCCGGGUCAGUUUUUCUGGUCCCGUACAGGUGGUGCAUGGUUGUCGUCAGCUCGUGUCGUGAGAUGUUGGGUUAAGUCCCGCAACGAGCGCAACCCUUGUCCUAUGUUGCCAGCGGGUUAUGCCGGGGACUCAUGGGAGACUGCCGGGGUCAACUCGGAGGAAGGUGGGGAUGACGUCAAAUCAUCAUGCCCCUUAUGUCUUGGGCUUCACGCAUGCUACAAUGGCUGGUACAAAGGGUUGCGAUACUGUGAGGUGGAGCUAAUCCCAGAAAGCCGGUCUCAGUUCGGAUUGGGGUCUGCAACUCGACCCUAUGAAGUCGGAGUCGCUAGUAAUCGCAGAUCAGCAACGCUGCGGUGAAUACGUUCCCGGG
RNAcentral lists this ribosomal RNA (1363 nucleotides) under uncultured Actinomycetes bacterium. RNAcentral's name for it is "uncultured actinobacterium 16S ribosomal RNA". It matches the Rfam family "Bacterial small subunit ribosomal RNA", at positions 28 to 1378 of the family's 1533-position model. Lineage: Bacteria; Bacillati; Actinomycetota; Actinomycetes. The record is from RNAcentral.